Molecule: ribosomal RNA, 253 nt
Filed under: uncultured bacterium
Lineage: Bacteria
Description: partial 16S ribosomal RNA
Rfam family: Bacterial small subunit ribosomal RNA
Source: RNAcentral
UACGGGGGGAGCAAGCGUUGUUCGGAUUUACUGGGCGUAAAGGGCGCGUAGGCGGCGCGACAAGUCACUUGUGAAAUCUCUGGGCUCAACCCAGAACGGUCAAGUGAUACUGUCGUGCUAGAGUGCGGAAGGGGCAACUGGAAUUCUUGGUGUAGCGGUGAAAUGCGUAGAUAUCAAGAGGAACACCUGCGGCGAAGGCGGGUUGCUGGGCCGACACUGACGCUGAGGCGCGAAAGCGUGGGGAGCAAACAGG